RNAcentral lists this ribosomal RNA (444 nucleotides) under Triticum aestivum (bread wheat). RNAcentral describes it as "partial small subunit ribosomal RNA". Lineage: Eukaryota; Viridiplantae; Streptophyta; Magnoliopsida; Poales; Poaceae. The record is from RNAcentral.
AUGGAAUCAUUUCUGCCGAAUGUGACAUUCAGAAGAGAUUUUAUUGGACCCAGACUACAAUCGUGGAACAUUCUGCUUCAGCGAUUGUCCACGGUGCAAUUGUCACAUGGAUCUGAUGUAUUCCGAUGGAACCUCCAUGGGAAUGGACAAUUCUCAGCGGAGUCUAUGUAUAGAGCAUUAAUCCAGUCUGAUGUGCCAGCUGAUAAUAACAAGAAGAUCUGGAAGAUGAAGAUACCUCUUAAGAAUAAAAUCUUUGCAUGGUAUCUUCGUCGUGGAGUCAUUCUUACUAAAGAUAACCUUAUUAAGAGGAAUUGGCAUGGAAGUCCACAAUGUGUCUUUUGUCACCAUGAGGAGACAAUAAAACAUUUAUUCUUCCAAUGCAAAUUAGCUCGUUCUAUAUGGUCAGUCAUCCAAAUAGCUUUUUGUCUUGUAUCCUCCUUCUAG